UGUGUUUAUGGCUGUAUUGGUCUGGGUUAUGAGGUGUGUGUUUAUGGCUGUAUUGGUCUGGGUUAUGAGGUGUGUGUUUAUGGCUGUAUUGGUCUGGGUUAUGAGGUGUGCAACCAUGGCUGUAUUGGUCUGGGUUAUGAGGUGUGUGUUUAUGGCUGUAUUGGUCUGGGUUAUGAGGUGUGUGUUUAUGGCUGUAUUGGUCUGGGUUAUGAGGUGUGUGUUUAUGGCUGUAUUGGUCUGGGUUAUGAGGUGUGUGUUUAUGGCUGUAUGGGUCUGGGUUAUGAGGUGUGUGUUUAUGGCUGUAUGGGUCUGGGUUAUGUGGUGUGCAACCAUGGCUGUAUGGGUCUGGGUUAUGAGGUGUGUGUUUAUGGCUGUAUGGGUCUGGGUUAUGAGGUGUGUGUUUAUGGCUGUAUUGGUCUGGGUUAUGAGGUGUGUGUUUAUGGCUGUAUGGGUCUGGGUUAUGAGGUGUGUGUUUAUGGCUGUAUGGGUCUGGGUUAUGUGGUGUGCAACCAUGGCUGUAUGGGUCUGGGUUAUGAGGUGUGUGUUUAUGGCUGUAUGGGUCUGGG
This 566-nucleotide long non-coding RNA is filed under the name Salmo salar (Atlantic salmon). RNAcentral describes it as "lncRNA (ENSSSAG00000100457.1)". The record is from RNAcentral. Lineage: Eukaryota; Metazoa; Chordata; Actinopteri; Salmoniformes; Salmonidae.